RNAcentral lists this unclassified non-coding RNA (329 nucleotides) under soil metagenome. RNAcentral's name for it is "partial contains 5.8S ribosomal RNA, internal transcribed spacer 2, and large subunit ribosomal RNA". The stretch from base 1 to 120 matches the Rfam family "5.8S ribosomal RNA", at positions 35 to 154 of the family's 154-position model. The record is from RNAcentral.
GAUGAAGAACGUAGCGAAAUGCGAUACUUGGUGUGAAUUGCAGAAUCCCGUGAACCAUCGAGUCUUUGAACGCAAGUUGCGCCCCUUGGUAUUCCGAGGGGCAUGCCUGUUCGAGCGUCAUUAUAACCCCUCAAGCUCAGCUUGGUGUUGGGGCCUGCUGCACUGGCAGCCCUUAAAAUCAGUGGCGGCGCCAUCUGGCUCUAAGCGUAGUAAUUCUUCUCGCUAUGGAGUCCUGGUGGAUGCUUGCCAUCAACCCCCAAUUUUUCUAUGGUUGACCUCGGAUCAGGUAGGGAUACCCGCUGAACUUAAGCAUAUCAAUAAGCGGAGGA